Molecule: ribosomal RNA, 497 nt
Filed under: uncultured bacterium
Lineage: Bacteria
Description: partial 16S ribosomal RNA
Rfam family: Bacterial small subunit ribosomal RNA
Source: RNAcentral
GAUGAACGCUGGCGGCGUGCCUAAUACAUGCAAGUCGAGCGAACAGACGAGGAGCUUGCUCCUCUGACGUUAGCGGCGGACGGGUGAGUAACACGUGGAUAACCUACCUAUAAGACUGGGAUAACUUCGGGAAACCGGAGCUAAUACCGGAUAAUAUAUUGAACCGCAUGGUUCAAUAGUGAAAGACGGUUUUGCUGUCACUUAUAGAUGGAUCCGCGCCGCAUUAGCUAGUUGGUAAGGUAACGGCUUACCAAGGCAACGAUGCGUAGCCGACCUGAGAGGGGGAUCGGCCACACUGGAACUGAGACACGGUCCAGACUCCUACGGGAGGCAGCAGUGGGGAAUAUUGCAAAAUGGGCGAAAGCCUGACGAAGCAACGCCGCGUGGUUGAUGAAGGUCUUCGGAUCUUAAAACUCUUUUAUUGGGGAAGAAAAAAUGUAAAAGAAACUAUGCGCUUCUUGACGGUACCUAAUAAAAAAGCCCCGGCUAACUAUGUG